GCCGAAAUAGCUCUGUUGGGUGAGCAUUUGCUUGAAGAUCUAAAGGUUCCUGGUUCAAUCCUGGGUUUUGGCA
This is a non-coding RNA of Pangasius djambal, 73 nucleotides long. The record is from the annotation of a GenBank genome assembly. NCBI's taxonomy places the organism in Eukaryota, Metazoa, Chordata, Actinopteri, Siluriformes, Pangasiidae.